Molecule: transfer RNA, 86 nt
Filed under: Malaciobacter marinus
Lineage: Bacteria; Pseudomonadati; Campylobacterota; Epsilonproteobacteria; Campylobacterales; Arcobacteraceae
Also listed under: 2 other names
Description: Arcobacter marinus tRNA-Leu
Rfam family: tRNA
About the family: Transfer RNA (tRNA) molecules are approximately 80 nucleotides in length. Their secondary structure includes four short double-helical elements and three loops (D, anti-codon, and T loops).
Source: RNAcentral
GCGAAUGUGGUGGAACGGUAGACACGUUAGCUUGAGGGGCUAAUGCCAGUACUGGUGUGAGGGUUCAAAUCCCUCCAUUCGCACCA